GACGAACGCUGGCGGCGUGCUUAACACAUGCAAGUCGAACGGAAAGGCCCUGCUUUUGUGGGGUGCGCGAGUGGCGAACGGGUAAGUAACACGUGAGUAACCUGUACUUGACUGUGGGAUAUCCUCAUGAAACUGGGGCUAAUACCGGAUAGGAGCUCCUGCUGCAGGGUGGGGGUGGGAAAGUUUCGGCGGUUGGUGAUGGACUCGCGGCUCAUCAGCUUGGUGGUGGGGUAGUGGCUUACCAAGGCUUUGCCGGGUAGCCGGCCUGAGAGGAGGAGCGGCCACACUGGGACUGAGAUGCGACCCAGACUCCUACCGGACGCAGCAGUGGAGAAUAUUGCACAAUGGGCGGAGGGAUAGUGCAGCAACGCAACGCGCGGGAUGACAGCAUGGCGGUUGUAAUCCGAUGUCGCUUUUCACGAGACGAGAAUGACGGUAACGGGUGAAGAAGCACCGGCUAACUACGUG
Molecule: ribosomal RNA, 468 nt
Filed under: uncultured bacterium
Lineage: Bacteria
Description: partial 16S ribosomal RNA
Rfam family: Bacterial small subunit ribosomal RNA
Source: RNAcentral